CUACGCACUCCUACGGGAAGGCAGCAGUGGGGAAUAUUGCACAAUGGGCGCAAGCCUGAUGCAGCCAUGCCGCGUGUAUGAAGAAGGCCUUCGGGUUGUAAAGUACUUUCAGCAGUGAGGAAGGUGGGUAUGUUAAUAGCAUAUUCAUUUGACGUUAGCUGCAGAAGAAGCACCGGCUAACUCCGUGCCAGCAGCCGCGGUAAUACGGAGGGUGCGAGCGUUAAUCGGAAUUACUGGGCGUAAAGCGCAUGCAGGUGGUUUGUUAAGUCAGAUGUGAAAGCCCGGGGCUCAACCUCGGAAUUGCAUUUGAAACUGGCAAACUAGAGUACUGUAGAGGGGGUAGAAUUUCAGGUGUAGCGGUGAAAUGCGUAGAGAUCUGAAGGAAUACCGGUGGCGAAGGCGGCCCCCUGGACAGAUACUGACACUCAGAUGCGAAAGCGUGGGGAGCAAACAGGAUUAGAUACCCUGGUAG
This 472-nucleotide ribosomal RNA is filed under the name uncultured bacterium. RNAcentral describes it as "bacterial SSU rRNA". It matches the Rfam family "Bacterial small subunit ribosomal RNA", at positions 329 to 793 of the family's 1533-position model. The record is from RNAcentral.